This is a long non-coding RNA of Zalophus californianus (California sea lion), 323 nucleotides long. RefSeq lists it as uncharacterized. Lineage: Eukaryota; Metazoa; Chordata; Mammalia; Carnivora; Otariidae. The transcript is spliced from 3 exons. The record is from RefSeq and is a predicted model, not a curated record.
CAAAGAUGUCCACAAUCACAACUAUUCAACAUUAUACUGGAACGGCUACAAGGCAAAGGAAUUAAAUAGAAAGGUAUAAAGUUUGGAAAAGAAGAAGUGCAAUUUGCAACAGUGUAGGGAAACAGGUAGGCCUCACACCCAGCAUGGAGCCCAACACAGGGCUUGAACUCACAAUCCUGAGAUCAAGACCUGAGCUGAGAUGAAGAGUCAGAUGCUCAACCAACUGAGCCACGUAGGCAGCCCUGUAUUUGGUCUUUGAAUUGGUAAUAGCCAUCUAUUGACUUCAUACAUAGAAGAUGCAAAUUCUGGGGCUCCUGGGUGGC